UAUUAAAAAUUUUAUCUAUUUCUACUAUUAAAAGCUAGUAUGAUUAAUAAAAUAAUACCAAAUGUACCUUAUUUUGGCAUAUAUGAAUUAAUUUUUAACAGUAAAAAUGAAUAAAAUUUUUGAUA
Gossypium arboreum is the source of this 125-nucleotide non-coding RNA. The record is from Rfam. Lineage: Eukaryota; Viridiplantae; Streptophyta; Magnoliopsida; Malvales; Malvaceae.